This 26-nucleotide non-coding RNA is filed under the name Rattus norvegicus (Norway rat). Lineage: Eukaryota; Metazoa; Chordata; Mammalia; Rodentia; Muridae. The record is from RNAcentral.
UGAGAGUCGUGUCCUCUCCACUUGGU